This 253-nucleotide ribosomal RNA is filed under the name uncultured bacterium. Its description in RNAcentral is "partial 16S ribosomal RNA". It matches the Rfam family "Bacterial small subunit ribosomal RNA", at positions 524 to 776 of the family's 1533-position model. The record is from RNAcentral.
UACGUAGGUGGCAAGCGUUGUCCGGAUUUACUGGGCGUAAAGAGCGCGCAGGCGGUCGUUCAAGUCGCGUGUGAAAGCCCCCGGCUCAACUGGGGAGGGUCACGCGAUACUGAUCGACUCGAAGGCAGGAGAGGGUAGUGGAAUUCCCGGUGUAGUGGUGAAAUGCGUAGAUAUCGGGAGGAACACCAGUGGCGAAGGCGGCGAUCUGGACGGAUAUUGACGCUGAGGUGCGAAAGCGUGGGGAGCAAACAGG